Camelus dromedarius (Arabian camel) is the source of this 6902-nucleotide RNA transcript. It is a transcript of the gene named GTP dependent ribosome recycling factor mitochondrial 2, with no coding region annotated. The transcript has 22 exons. The record is from RefSeq and is a predicted model, not a curated record. Lineage: Eukaryota; Metazoa; Chordata; Mammalia; Artiodactyla; Camelidae.
ACCACCGGAAGUGGUGAAGCGCGGCGCCGGCGGAAGUGGUAAAACGCAGCGCCGGCGGAGACAGAGGGCAAGUCCGGCGCCGGUGCUGGGAGAGCGAAAGAAAUUAGCUUCCCUCCGCCCGUCCCGGGGCGUUCGCUGAGGUAGGGCGUCGCGACAGAAGGCCUUUGCAAGCUUGGGGGCGGUCCGCACCUCCGCUCUUACCAGCCUGGCGGGAAAAAGCCGGCCUUCGGUAUGCGACCGAGUGACAGAGAAUAACAAUUUAGAGGGCCAAGAUGUCCAGCCUGAGGAUAUUUGUAGUGAACCAUAAGAAUAUAUGCAGCUUGCACAUUAAUAAUACUUGUUGCUACAAAAUAAGAGCAAGUCUAAAAAGAUUAAAGCCACAUGUGCCUCUUGGAAGAAAUUACAGUUCCCUCCCAGGUUUAAUAGGAAAUGAUAUCAAAUCCCUUCAUUCCAUCAUCAAUCCUCCCGUUGCUAAAAUCCGUAAUAUUGGAAUCAUGGCUCAUAUAGAUGCAGGCAAAACUACCACCACAGAAAGAAUACUGUAUUAUUCUGGAUACACAAGAUCACUGGGAGAUGUUGAUGAUGGAGACACAGUGACAGAUUUCAUGGCUCAAGAGCGAGAACGAGGCAUAACUAUUCAAUCAGCUGCUGUUACAUUUGAUUGGAAGGGCUAUAGAAUCAAUCUAAUUGAUACACCAGGUCACGUGGACUUUACUUUGGAGGUUGAGCGCUGCCUAAGAGUGUUGGAUGGUGCCGUGGCUGUGUUUGAUGCCUCUGCUGGUGUAGAGGCACAAACUCUCACAGUGUGGAGGCAAGCUGAUAAACACAAGAUACCUCGAAUCUGUUUUUUAAACAAGAUGGACAAAAUUGGAGCAAGUUUUAACUAUGCAGUUGAAAGCAUCAGAGAGAAGUUGAAGGCAAAGCCUUUGCUUUUACAGUUACCAAUUGGUGAAGCCAAAACUUUCAAAGGAGUGGUGGAUGUAGUAUGUAAAGAGAAACUUAUUUGGAGUCCCAAAUCAGAUGAUGGAAAAGACUUUGAGAGAAAACCCCUCUUGGAAAUGAGUGAUCCUAAAUUGCUGAAGGAGACAACGGAAGCAAGGAAUGCCUUAAUUGAACAAGUUGCAGAUUUGGAUGAUGAAUUUGCUGACUUGGUUCUAGGCAAAUUUAGUGAAAAUUUUGAUUUGCUACCAGCUGAAAAGCUACAAACUGCUAUACGCAGAGUAACACUGGCUCAGACAGCAGUGCCUGUACUUUGUGGAAGUGCCCUGAAAAACAAAGGCGUCCAGCCCUUGUUAGAUGCUAUUACCAUGUACUUGCCUUCACCUGAAGAGCGCAACUAUGAAUUUCUGCAGUGGUACAAGGGUGACUUAUGUGCACUGGCAUUUAAAGUUCUCCAUGACAGGCAGCGAGGACCACUGGUUUUUAUGCGCAUUUACUCAGGCAUGAUAAAACCCCAGUUGGCUGUCCAUAAUAUUAAUGGAAACUGCACGGAGAGAAUAAGUCGUCUGCUUUUGCCAUUUGCUGACCAACAUAUAGAAAUCCCUUCACUGACUGCUGGUAACAUUGCUUUGACUGUUGGGCUUAAACAUACUUCCACUGGAGACACCAUUGUCUCAUCCAAGUCCAGCGCGUUAGCUGCAGCUCGUCGAGCCGAAAGGGAGGGAGGAAAGAAGCAUAGCCAGAACAGUGAAGCAGAGAGGCUUUUACUGGCUGGGGUGGAGAUUCCAGAACCUGUUUUCUUCUGUACCAUAGAACCACCUUCAGUGGCUAAACAGCCAGAUUUGGAUCAUGCAUUGAAAUGCCUUCAGCGUGAAGAUCCCAGUUUGAAAGCGAAGCUAGAUCCUGACUCUGGACAAACUGUCCUUUGUGGUAUGGGAGAGUUACAUAUUGAGAUUAUUCACGACCGAAUCAAGAGGGAAUAUGGACUGGAAACCUACCUAGGGCCUCUCCAGGUGGCAUACCGAGAGACCAUCCUAAAUUCAGUUCGUGCCACAGAUACCUUAGAUAGAACUUUAGGAGACAGACGGCAUCUUGUGACUGUAGACCUGGAAGCAAAGCCAGCCGAGACUUCAUCUCUUCUGCCAGUUAUCAAGUUUGCAGAAAGUGUUGGUGAAGACCUUUCACAGGCCUCACGAGAGGCUGUUGAAAAUGGAAUUCACAGUGCAUGCGUCCAAGGACCAUUGCUUGGAUCCCCAGUUCAAGACGUGGCAAUUACUUUACAUUCACUGGUAAUUCAUCCCGGUACCUCUGCAGCUAUGAUUUCUGCCUGUGUCUCCAGAUGCAUACAGAAGGCUCUGAAGAAAGCUGAUAAGCAAAUUUUGGAGCCACUGAUGAAUCUCGAGGUUACAGUGACUAGAGAUUACCUCAGCCCUGUCCUAGCAGAUCUGGCACAAAGAAGAGGGAACAUUCAGGAAAUCCAGACUCGUCAGGACAACAAAGUUGUUAUUGGAUUUGUUCCCCUAGCAGAAAUUAUGGGUUAUUCAACUGUGCUUCGAACGCUAACAUCAGGCUCAGCUACUUUUGCCUUAGAACUGUCUAAUUACCAAGCCAUGAAUCCUCAAGACCAAAGUACGCUGCUCGGCCGGAGAAGGGGCUUGUCCUAAGUGCGUAAGGUCCUUGGACAGAAACCACCUACUUCAUUUUCAGUAAGAACAAUUUAAAAGGAUACUUUAUGGAAUUAGCAGCAUGCUUUGAUGGUGAAGGAACAUACUUCAGAGUACUUCAGUUUGUGAUUAACAAACAAUGAGACGGCAGGGGAGGAGGGGAGACAGGAGAGAUGAGGAGGAGGCGCUAGAGAAUGAAGCAGAUGGAAGAAAUGAAACAAAUACCAUCAUCCCUGGUCUCCUUGUACAGCUUGUGCCUAACAGAAGUUUAAAUGGAAAGGUAAGCUAAUUUUCCCUUAAUGUUGGGGAAAGCUUCAUUAGGGUUCCUUCCAUCCAAAAUGUUAGAGUAUUAAGUCUCUCCUAUCUGAAUCAAAUGCAGUCUUCAUACUUACCUUAUCUUUAUUAUCAAAAACCUCUUGCCAGACUAUGGAUCUCUUGCCCAUGGUUGAAACCAUAUCCAAAAGCCUACCAUUGAGAAAAUUACACAGUUAUUUCAGAUCACAAGCUUACCAAUAAGUGUAGAGUGCACGUUUUAUACCAAGGACUACAACAUUGAGAGGUGCUUUUCAAUACAGCACAGCUUUACAGCAGAACUAGCAAAAGUUGGGUGGUGGCCCACACGGUUCCCUCUUCUAGCAUGUGGCUCAGAGCCUGACACAGCAGAGGGGUUUAACAGGCAUUUGCCGCAUGAAUGAGCUAAGCGUGCCCCAAAGACAGGAAGACGUGGACGCUCACAGGGAGGUAUACAAACAUCAAUCUUUGGUAAUUUCAUGGGUAUCUCAGAAUAAAGGAAACUAUAAACUAGUCUCUGAUGUCACCUAAGUAACUUCCAACAGUGUUGACAAAUAUUUCCUCAGACGAUACCAGGUGCUCUACAGGAUAAAAAAAAAUUAGACUAUAUCACACGAAAAGCUUAACAAGAAGAGGCUAGACUCUGGGCUUGCUCAGUGCAGGGAUUGGCAAACUAUUGCCUGAAGCCUGUUUUUGUCUGGCUUAGGAGCUGAGAAUGGUUUUUACAUUUGUAAAGUGUUGUUUAAAAAAUAAGAACAUGCAACCAUAUGUGCCCCACGAAGUCUACAGUGUUUACUGUCUGGCCCUUUACAGAAAAAGUUUACUGCUCCCUACACAGAGCAGCACUGUCCAGUAGAGCUUUCUGCAGUGAUGGAAAAGUUGUGUAGCCACAUGUGGCUAUGGUACCACAGCAGACGGCACAGGUAUAAAGUAAAAGAAACGCUCCUGGAGUUGACCAAAGGGGAUGACUUCCGGGGGCUGGAUGGUGACUUCGCAGGGUAGCCAGGGCUUUGCGCUGAGCUUUUACAACACCUAUCCUUGUGUUUCAUCAAUUACUGCAAAAAGGUCAGUCACCGUGUUAUGGAUGACUCUCCUUUACGAUUUUUCAUCUGUAUACUUUAUGUAACAAUAUACAGCACCUGCACUUUGGCAAAGGCGUGGAAAGAAAAUGAGAAAAUACAGUAGUACUAAAUAAUAGCUCACACUUUCACAAAAGGCACUAAUGAAAUAAAAACAGAAGUAGACUUUCAAGUAACUUACUUUUCCAUAUAGAAAGACUCUAGUCGCUCGAAAUUGGCAAAACCUUUAGAUUUCAUGAAAUUCUGGAUGUCUGGAUUGGACUUCCUUAAAAAAACAAUGAUUAGAAUUUCAUUAAGUUUUAACAUGCUCAAUCUUUUUAAAGCAACAUUUUCCCUAACAUUGUACAGAUUUAAAACUGUUAAAGUCUGUAUAGUAAAAUAAGCCUAAAAACUUAAUUAUGAGUUAUCUUAGCAUUCCACUGUGAAUAAUUUUUUCCAAAAGCUGAUUUCCUAUAAAAAUGGCUUUCCCUAACCUCUCACCUCUCUCCUCCAUCUAAGGCUAUUUGCAAAGAGGAAUUUUAUUUGAAAAAUCUCCCCCAUUUAAUGAUUACCCUCUUUCAUGGAAGCUGUUCUUGUGCACUAGCUGGCCUUUUCUAAAAUCUCCAUUUUAAGUUCUCCUUCCUAGAAGCUUUUACUUUGCCGUAUCACCCAUAGGUACAUUCUAUAGAAAGCCACCAUCUCAGGAAUGGGGUUGCCAGCCUUACAGAGGUGUUACCCCAAAUCUUCCCUUUUCACAUGGAGACCUCUACACCUACUUCAAACGCAACAAUUUAAAAGAAGCAGGGGGAGGGGGUAGUUUUAAUGAACUGUCAUACCAGCAAUCAAAUUGUACUUCAUCUCCUCCCAAAUGAAUGAAUUUAUCUGGAAAUACAGUACUAAUUUCUUUGAAGAGGUCAUGCAGGAAGCUGUAAGUUGUAUUUAGGAUAGGGUUUAUCGGUCCAAAAGUCCCAGACGACUGUUUUCCUUGAUAACAUGGAGUUAGGAGGUCUUUCUGACCUGGAAGAAAACAUGAAGAAUCUUUGCUAAAGAAGUACUUCAGUCACAAAGACACGGCUUUUGCACAUGAUUAUACGACUAUGUUUUGUUGAAGUGUUAAGAGAUUUUAUACAGAAUAAGAGAAGCAUGUUUAUUUACUCAGUUACUAUGGUAACGUCUUCCAAAUAAGAAAAGGGAGCAUUGUUUCCUGAGUUCUAUCCCUGUACCGGUUUCCCUUUCUAUCAGCCUCUUCCUGAAAUUUUAUCCGUUUCAAGUAUUAUCUCGAAUAUUAAUGACUCCCAGAUCUUCAGCUUACCCCAGUCCCUUUCCUCACACUUCAAUCUGUAUUUCAAAUUCCCUGCUGAACAGAGUAGGAUAUCCUAGCUUCACUUCAAGUAUGACCUAACAAAAACCAAACUCUCUUCCGCAAACUCCUUUGAUAGUUUCUCCUGAGUUUUGUGUUCUGGUAAAGCCUGCCAACAUCUUGUCUGUAACUCAUCCCUCUCCUCCUGGAGUCAGUCAGUUGCCAGGUUCUGUGGAUUCUAUUUCCAGAAUGUCUCUCAGUUCUGAAUAUUAUUCUCCAUUUUCUUUUUCACCAUUCCGGUCUAGCACCUUCGGUCUCUCUCCCCUUCCAAUCUGUCUCCUGCACGUAGGUUUUCCUGUGGUGUGGCUCCCAUCAUGUCACUCUUCUUGGCUGUAACUUUCACUGGUUUCCCUGUAUCGUGAUGAAGCCCACAUUCCUCACCAAGACCUUCUCUACACUGAACUUUUUUCAGACUGACUGACCACUAUUCUCCAUGUAUACUCUAAAAAUGCUAGGUGCGGUGCUACGUGCUUUACAUUCAAUCUUCAAAAAAGGUUAAUGAUAGCUACUGCUAAUAUUCCCAUUUUUAGAGAUGGGAAACUGAGGAUGAGGUGUUCUAUAACUUGCCCAAGGUCACUCAGUUUAUAAAUCGCAGAAGCAGGAUUCAAACCCAGGCAGUCAAGCCCCCGAGCUAGUUCUUAAUGACCCUGUAGUACCUCCUACUCUCUGCUGCACUGUACUCCAACUAGAUGCCUUUCCUGUUCUUCUGUCUGAAACAGGAACAUACUUUUUGAUUCCUCAAAAAUGAUCCCUUUUAAGUGUCACCUUAUUCACGAAACUGUUUAAUUCAUUUAUCACUGUUCUACUUCAACUCAUUUUUUGUUUUCCUUUAUCCCUUGUGUUUAUACUUUAGGCAAUGCCUGGAUACAGUGACUUGCUCACAACAGACACAAAAUAGUUACUGAAUUACAACUAUCAGUAGUGCUGCCUCUGUGCAAAACCACAAGUAAGAACAAAAUGAGCAAAUACCAAGUCAUAAAGUUAAGAGAUGCAGGACCUCAAAUGUUCACUUUUUAUAACUCAUCAAACAUACUCCUUACCUUUUCCCCAAGACUGCGUAUGUCCAGGGCUAUCAAAUUCUGGCACGAUCCGAAUCCCUCGUAAUCGAGCAUAUCCAAUCACCCUACGGAUAUCGUUUGGUGUAUAAACACCAGACAAAGAAAAGCUUCCCUAUAAAAGCCACAUUUAUUAAAAUUAGAAGGUACAGAGUAGAUUUGAUCGUGGAAAUUGUUUACAGUUCUGUUUGUACUUUGUGAUACUUGAAAAACCUGCCAGCAGAUAUCAAAGUAUCAAAUAGUACCAUAUGAUAUUAGAUGUCUCAUUUAAAUUAUUUGUUUACUGUAUCUUAUCAGUAAGGGGUCAGCACACUUUGGGUUAACUUCAGAUGUGCGGAUAGAACUAUCUCUACGAACACCUUUUGUUUCAGGAAUGUCUACCAUCACUUUUUUUUUUUUUUUAACAUUUUUUACUGAUUUAUAAUCAUUUUACAAUGUUGUGUCAAAUCCCAGUGUAGAGCAUAAUUUUUCAAUUAUACAUUGUUUCAACCUCAUGUAACCAUACAACAAAACAAAUAAAAUGACUCCACCAUGA